CGCGUAGGCGGCCGUUUAAGUCGGAUGUGAAAGCCCGGGGCUUACCCCCGGAAGUGCAUUUGAAACUGGACGGCUUGAGUAUGGGAGAGGGAAGCGGAAUUCCUGGUGUAGAGGUGAAAUUCGUAGAUAUCAGGAGGAACACCGGUGGCGAAGGCGGCUUCCUGGACCAAUACUGACGCUGAGGCGCGAAGGCGUGGGGAGCAAACAGGGAUUAGAUACCCUGGUAGUCCACGCAAUAAACGUUGAUCACUAGGUGUAGCGGGUAUUGACCCCUGCUGUGCCGACGCUAACGCAUUAAGUGAUCCGCCUGGGAAGUACGGCCGCAAGGUUAAA
This 333-nucleotide ribosomal RNA is filed under the name uncultured bacterium. RNAcentral describes it as "bacterial SSU rRNA". It matches the Rfam family "Bacterial small subunit ribosomal RNA", at positions 568 to 898 of the family's 1533-position model. The record is from RNAcentral.